UGCGAAGGGGGCUAGCGUUGCUCGGAAUCACUGGGCGUAAAGGGUGCGUAGGCGGGUUUUUAAGUCAGAGGUGAAAUCCUGGAGCUCAACUCCAGAACUGCCUUUGAUACUGAAAGUCUUGAGUACGGGAGAGGUGAGUGGAACUGCGAGUGUGGAGGUGAAAUUCGUAGAUAUUCGCAAGAACACCAGUGGCGAAGGCGGCUCACUGGCCCGUAACUGACGCUGAGGCACGAAAGCGUGGGGAGCAAACAGG
RNAcentral lists this ribosomal RNA (253 nucleotides) under uncultured bacterium. Its description in RNAcentral is "partial 16S ribosomal RNA". It matches the Rfam family "Bacterial small subunit ribosomal RNA", at positions 524 to 776 of the family's 1533-position model. The record is from RNAcentral.